GAAAUGCGAUAAGUAGUGUGAAUUGCAGAAUUCAGUGAAUCAUCGAAUCUUUGAACGCACAUUUCGCCCCUUGGUAUUCCAUGGGGCAUGCCUGUUCGAGCGUCAUUUGUACCCUCAAGCUUUGCUUGGUGUUGGGCGUUUUGUCAUCUUCUGGAGGACUCGCCUUAAAACAAUUGGCAGACGGCAUAUUGGUAUCGGAGCGCAGCACAAGUCGCCCUCCUUUCCAUGAAUGUUGGCGUCCAUCAAGACUAUUUUUGCACUCUUGACCUCGGAUCAGGUAGGGAUACCCGCUGAACUUCA
Molecule: unclassified non-coding RNA, 300 nt
Filed under: uncultured Pleosporales
Lineage: Eukaryota; Fungi; Ascomycota; Dothideomycetes; Pleosporales
Description: sequence contains ITS1
Rfam family: 5.8S ribosomal RNA (bases 1-105)
Source: RNAcentral